UGGUAAGUCACGAUAAUGGACACCACUCCACUCCUCGUAACAAACUCCACGUGGCCCUGAACGGCCCCUGACGCCACUACUCUCCAUAACAAACUCCGCAUGGCUAUGAAUGACCCACUACCAGAUGGUUACAAACGUCGCUGUCAAUUAGUUACACACUCCAUCUAUAAAAGGGACUCCCAGAUACAUUUUUCUCUAAGCUCAAAACUCUAUCUCAAAACUCUGCUAAAAUUUUUACUCAAGCACUCCAUU
This 252-nucleotide long non-coding RNA is filed under the name Elaeis guineensis (African oil palm). RNAcentral's name for it is "long non-coding RNA (EGUI_LNC064840)". The record is from RNAcentral. Lineage: Eukaryota; Viridiplantae; Streptophyta; Magnoliopsida; Arecales; Arecaceae.